RNAcentral lists this long non-coding RNA (1746 nucleotides) under Salvator merianae (Argentine black and white tegu). Its description in RNAcentral is "lncRNA (ENSSMRG00000007287.1)". Lineage: Eukaryota; Metazoa; Chordata; Lepidosauria; Squamata; Teiidae. The record is from RNAcentral.
CCAAAUGCGUGACAAUUAUAUGCUCGAUACCUCCGCCUGUCCUUGGACGUGAUGAGUACAGGAGACCAACUCAUUUUUGAUGACAUAUUUACCUUGUCUUUCCUUCAAAAACCCCAGGGUGGCGCAAUAACUGUUUCAGCUCUUGUUCCACGAUUCCAAGUGCAGCAGAGACGCGAAAUGAAUCCACACUUUCUUGAACAGAAAGCUCGUUAAUGUCAGAUGUUUGAGUUGGGAAUAAUACUGGUGAGGGGAUUGCAUUGUGCACAUGCCCAGCGGUAUCCGUACGGUCUUUACAGAGUUAUUCCCCCCGGCGCGGCAAACAGCUUCUGCACCAACUCGUUUAGGAUUCCUCUGCUUUUUCCCAUGUCGUGCAGCGGUGCUAGAUAGAAACGAAUGGACUUGUAUUGCUGCAAGCUCCAGCAGGUGGCGCUCGCGGCCCGCCUCUAUUGCCCAGCCGGAAUCAGCAAGCGGGAGACGGAGCGCCCGGCCCGCCCGGGUUUGCUUUGCUUUGCUUGCGCUGCGCGGGCCUGCUGCGCUGGUUACAGCCAGGGCAGGCAAGAUCCCAGGUGGCUGGGGUAGGGAGACGACUGGCCAGGUUUCUUCAAGUGACAGCAUGGUAUCUUGAUUUGCUGAAAACAGCUGAUUACUGUGGUUGCUUAUGGAAACAGAAUCCCUCUGUAUCCCUGUAUCAGACUCCAGCUAUAGUCAAUCUGGCAAGUAUCGCAUCAGCACAGAUUUACCAAACACUCCACACAUGGUGUCUGCAGCUCUGCAAAAAUGCUGAGUCUGGUUAGGAAGAAUGGGGGAAAGACCAUUUGUGGGUGGAUCUGGGACAUGAAACAGUCGCAUUUUGGUCUCUGAUAAAGAAUGGAGCUCAAUAGCGAUCCUGGGAGAAAAACAGUCUGGGACAGAGAAGGUAACUCUGAAGCAAAUUUUCUGUAUAGAACAGAAGGAAAGGCUAAAAGAAGCAAGGUAAAAAAAACUACAAAUCAUUCAUCUUGUAAUGCAGCUGUGAUCAGCAUGGUUUUGAUCCUUCACAGACACUACAAUGCAACUUCUCUUGCAUAACAAAACCUGGUUAUAAAAAUAAUGGUGGCCAGUAUAAAACAAUGCAUUCAGGCAAACUGGCAAUCAAUUCCAGUGCUUUGCAAUUUUUAUAAAGUGAUUGUUUCCAGGAAUGGAUCUACUGCAUUUUAUGAGGGACCAUCAAAUAAGACAAAAGUCUGUCUAAGGCCUGGUUCGCACUUACUAUAUGGAAAUUGUCUGUGCAGGCAAUUCCAGGCCACUCAAGAUCNAGGUAGGUUGGGGCCACUCAUGUUUUGUGCACUGGAACAUCACCAUUCUGUUCCAGCAGCACGCAAAAUACAAAUGACUGGAAUGGAUCCCCAGUGAAGAGUCCAAGCCUCAGAUUCAGACCUGCAGGGUGAUCCGGAAACUGCAAAUAACUGCACAGCCACAGUCAUUCAGUACACGCCCCCUCGCGCUCUAGGUAAGCCUGUGGACAGCUUUCAAGUUGUCCACAGCAGAAACAGCCUAGGGAGGGCAAUUCAAGACUAUUGCAGCAGCAUCCUGCAGGUAAAUAUGAAAAGGCCUAAAUUACACUGUCAAAGCAACAGAAGCUGAAGUAAGAGUAUUCUAUCAUAAAACAGAACAUAAAACCGUAUUUNAAAAAAAACCACAUAUGCAAGAGCACCAAAAGUAGCAAAAAGCGAUAACAAUAAAAAUAGUAACUCAGCAAAUAUUGCA